AUUGAACGCUGGCGGCAGGCCUAACACAUGCAAGUCGAGCGGAUGAAGGGAGCUUUCUCCUGGAUUCAGCGGCGGACGGGUGAGUAAUUCCUAGGAAUCUGCCUGGUAGUUGGGGAUAACGUCCGGAAACGGGCGCUAAUACCGCAUACGUCCUGAGGGAGAAAGUGGGGGAUCUUCGGACCACACGCUAUCAGAUGAGCCUAGGUCGGAUUAGCUAGUUGGUUGGGUAAAGGCCUACCAAGGCGACGAUCCGUAACUGGUCUGAGAGGAUGAUCAGCCACACUGGAACUGAGACACGGUCCAGACUCCUACGGGAGGCAGCAGUGGGGAAUAUUGGACAAUGGGCGAAAGCCUGAUCCAGCCAUGCCGCGUGUGUGAAGAAGGUCUUCGGAUUGUAAAGCACUUUAAGUUGGGAGGAAGGGCAGUAAGUUAAUCCCUUGCUGUUUUGACGUUACCAAAAGAAUAAGCACCGGCUAACUUCGUG
This 484-nucleotide ribosomal RNA is filed under the name uncultured bacterium. RNAcentral describes it as "partial 16S ribosomal RNA". It matches the Rfam family "Bacterial small subunit ribosomal RNA", at positions 30 to 507 of the family's 1533-position model. The record is from RNAcentral.